UGGGGAAUAUUGGACAAUGGGCGCAAGCCUGAUCCCGCCAUGCCGCGUGAGUGAUGAAGGCCCUAGGGUUGUAAAGCUCUUUCACCGGUGAAGAUAAUGACGGUAACCGGAGAAGAAGCCCCGGCUAACUUCGUGCCAGCAGCCGCGGUAAUACGAAGGGGGCUAGCGUUGUUCGGAUUUACUGGGCGUAAAGCGCACGUAGGCGGACUAUUAAGUCAGGGGUGAAAUCCCCGGGCUCAACCCCGGAACUGCCUUUGAUACUGGUAGGCUUGAGUUCGAGAUAGGCGAGUGGAAUGCCGAGUGUAGAGGUGAAAUUCGUAGAGAUUCGGAGGAACACCAGUGGCGAAGGCGGCUCACUGGCUCGAUACUGACGCUGAGGUGCGAAAGCGUGGGGAGCAAACAGG
RNAcentral lists this ribosomal RNA (404 nucleotides) under Verrucomicrobiota bacterium. RNAcentral describes it as "Verrucomicrobia bacterium partial 16S ribosomal RNA". It matches the Rfam family "Bacterial small subunit ribosomal RNA", at positions 355 to 776 of the family's 1533-position model. The record is from RNAcentral. Lineage: Bacteria; Pseudomonadati; Verrucomicrobiota.